AUUGAACGCUGGCGGAAUGCUUUACACAUGCAAGUCGAACGGCAGCACGGGGGCAACCCUGGUGGCGAGUGGCGAACGGGUGAGUAAUACAUCGGAACGUGCCCGGUCGUGGGGGAUAACGUAGCGAAAGUCACGCUAAUACCGCAUACGAUCUGAGGAUGAAAGCGGGGGACCUUCGGGCCUCGCGCGAUCGGAGCGGCCGAUGUCAGAUUAGGUAGUUGGUGGGGUAAAGGCCUACCAAGCCGACGAUCUGUAGCUGGUCUGAGAGGACGACCAGCCACACUGGGACUGAGACACGGCCCAGACUCCUACGGGAGGCAGCAGUGGGGAAUUUUGGACAAUGGGCGCAAGCCUGAUCCAGCCAUUCCGCGUGCAGGACGAAGGCCUUCGGGUUGUAAACUGCUUUUGUAUGGAACGAAAAGGCUCUGGCUAAUACCUGGGGCUCAUGACGGUACCGUAAGAAUAAGCACCGGCUAACUACGUG
RNAcentral lists this ribosomal RNA (484 nucleotides) under uncultured bacterium. RNAcentral's name for it is "partial 16S ribosomal RNA". It matches the Rfam family "Bacterial small subunit ribosomal RNA", at positions 30 to 507 of the family's 1533-position model. The record is from RNAcentral.